GAUGAACGCUGGCGGCGUGCCUAAUACAUGCAAGUCGAGCGAACGGACGAGAAGCUUGCUUCUCUGAUGUUAGCGGCGGACGGGUGAGUAACACGUGGAUAACCUACCUAUAAGACUGGGAUAACUUCGGGAAACCGGAGCUAAUACCGGAUAAUAUUUUGAACCGCAUGGUUCAAAAGUGAAAGACGGUCUUGCUGUCACUUAUAGAUGGAUCCGCGCUGCAUUAGCUAGUUGGUAAGGUAACGGCUUACCAAGGCAACGAUGCAUAGCCGACCUGAGAGGGUGAUCGGCCACACUGGAACUGAGACACGGUCCAGACUCCUACGGGAGGCAGCAGUAGGGAAUCUUCCGCAAUGGGCGAAAGCCUGACGGAGCAACGCCGCGUGAGUGAUGAAGGUCUUCGGAUCGUAAAACUCUGUUAUUAGGGAAGAACAUAUGUGUAAGUAACUGUGCACAUCUUGACGGUACCUAAUCAGAAAGCCACGGCUAACUACGUGCCAGCAGCCGCGGUAAUACGUAGGUGGCAAGCGUUAUCCGGAAUUAUUGGGCGUAAAGCGCGCGUAGGCGGUUUUUUAAGUCUGAUGUGAAAGCCCACGGCUCAACCGUGGAGGGUCAUUGGAAACUGGAAAACUUGAGUGCAGAAGAGGAAAGUGGAAUUCCAUGUGUAGCGGUGAAAUGCGCAGAGAUAUGGAGGAACACCAGUGGCGAAGGCGACUUUCUGGUCUGUAACUGACGCUGAUGUGCGAAAGCGUGGGGAUCAAACAGGAUUAGAUACCCUGGUAGUCCACGCCGUAAACGAUGAGUGCUAAGUGUUAGGGGGUUUCCGCCCCUUAGUGCUGCAGCUAACGCAUUAAGCACUCCGCCUGGGGAGUACGACCGCAAGGUUGAAACUCAAAGGAAUUGACGGGGACCCGCACAAGCGGUGGAGCAUGUGGUUUAAUUCGAAGCAACGCGAAGAACCUUACCAGGACUUGACAUACCAAGGAAAGUUUUUAGAGAUAAAAACCCUAGAUUUAUCUACCUUGGAUACAGGUGGUGCAUGGUUGUCGUCAGCUCGUGUCGUGAGAUGUUGGGUUAAGUCCCGCAACGAGCGCAACCCUUACAUUUAGUUACUAACAGGUUAAGCUGAGGACUCUAGAUGGACUGCCGAUGACAAAUCGGAGGAAGGUGGGGAUGACGUCAAAUCAUCAUGCCCUUUAUGUCCUGGGCUACACACGUGCUACAAUGGUCGGUACAAAGAGAAGCUAAAUAGCGAUAUCAAGCAAACCUCAAAAAACCGAUCCCAGUUCGGAUUGAUCUCUGCAACUCGAGAUCAUGAAGCCGGAGUUGCUAGUAAUCGCAGAUCAGAAUGCUGCGGUGAAUGCGUUCCCGGGUCU
Molecule: ribosomal RNA, 1376 nt
Filed under: uncultured bacterium
Lineage: Bacteria
Description: bacterial SSU rRNA
Rfam family: Bacterial small subunit ribosomal RNA
Source: RNAcentral